Gavialis gangeticus (Gharial) is the source of this 130-nucleotide long non-coding RNA. RefSeq lists it as uncharacterized. The transcript is spliced from 3 exons. NCBI's taxonomy places the organism in Eukaryota, Metazoa, Chordata, Crocodylia, Gavialidae. The record is from RefSeq and is a predicted model, not a curated record.
GUGCUGAAUGAGACCCAGUGAUGGGGACUGUGAGUAGGGGCUGAAAGCUCACAAGGAGCUAAGCCCCAGGAUGAGAAGUGAUUUGGUUAUGCUUCCAUUGUGCUUAGAGCUUUUGUUUUAGCCAGUCAUU